GACGAACGCUGGCGGCGUGCUUAACACAUGCAAGUCGAACGAUGAAGCGGUGCUUGCACCGUGGAUUAGUGGCGAACGGGUGAGUAAUACGUGAGUGACCUACCUUUGACUCUGGGAUAAGCCUGGGAAACUGGGUCUAAUACCGGAUACGACCAAUCUCUGCAUGGGGUGUUGGUGGAAAGCGUUAUGGAGUGGUUUUAGAUGGGCUCACGGCCUAUCAGCUUGUUGGUGAGGUAAUGGCUUACCAAGGCGACGACGGGUAGCCGGCCUGAGAGGGUGACCGGCCACACUGGGACUGAGACACGGCCCAGACUCCUACGGGAGGCAGCAGUGGGGAAUAUUGCACAAUGGGCGCAAGCCUGUUGCAGCGACGCCGCGUGAGGGAUGACGGCCUUCGGGUUGUAAACCUCUGUUAGCAUCGAAGAAGCGAAAGUGACGGUAGGUGCAGAGAAAGCGCCGGCUAACUACGUG
Molecule: ribosomal RNA, 471 nt
Filed under: uncultured bacterium
Lineage: Bacteria
Description: partial 16S ribosomal RNA
Rfam family: Bacterial small subunit ribosomal RNA
Source: RNAcentral